CGAUACAAACGAUACAAACAAUGCAUGCUUCGCGAUAUUGGCUGAAACAUCGAAAUAUCGUAAUAAAAUAUCGAAAUCAUCUUAAAUAUAUAUCAAACAAUUAUACAAAUACGUUUUAUUAUAUAUCAAUGGUCGAUCAUAGUUAAAAUAAGUUAAUUCUUUCAUCGAUCCACAAGUACGAACAUACACACGCACACACACGCACACACGUACACCAAACCUCUUGGAAUCUUUCCUCGAGCUUCUCCGCACGUCCGUUUCUUUUCCAUAUUAGAUUCAUAAAGAUUCGAACUACGAAUUCCAUAAGAAAAGUUUCGCGCAAAACUUCUUCGAAAUUUUAUCCAUCGAGUAACAUGGAAGCACUUCGCGAUUCGCUUUAAAAUUCAGCCGAAACGAUCGAGCGCGAAAACAAAGGGAUAUGUAAGGAACUUUU
Molecule: long non-coding RNA, 433 nt
Organism: Apis dorsata (giant honeybee)
Lineage: Eukaryota; Metazoa; Arthropoda; Insecta; Hymenoptera; Apidae
Exons: 3
Source: RefSeq, a predicted model, not a curated record